This 1329-nucleotide unclassified non-coding RNA is filed under the name Melitaea cinxia (Glanville fritillary). Its description in RNAcentral is "misc RNA ENSMCXG00005001113.1". The record is from RNAcentral. Lineage: Eukaryota; Metazoa; Arthropoda; Insecta; Lepidoptera; Nymphalidae.
UGGUAGGACUUCGACAAUUGGUUUUCCGAUUUCACGAAACUGCUUCCAUCAAGGUACAGAUUCUGUAUCAAGAAAGUGAGAUGAGGAGGAACACCCAUUUCCUAUCAAAACGCAAAGCAUUGUGCACAAAUUUUCUACACAUUAUACAACACAGCAAGCGUUCUUAGCUCUGCGCUUACUGACACAGUCUGUGUGCUCGUGUAGAGAGCCUCCACAAAAGAUUUGAUAGCUACAGUUACUCAUUUCAAAGCGUGAGCAAAGUCUAAUUAUAGAUUUCGAAAACAUUUUCGAUAUCCUUUAGUACGGGGGUCGGCUGUGGAUCAUUCGUCGAUGUCUAAGACAAACACUUGCUGAUUUUCUCCAAAUAGAAUAAAACAUUAUCUGCAUCACUUUAGUUUUUUAAUCUUUUGGCUCGUAAACUUGCAUUAGGUCUAAUGGCUGGCAUUCACCGGUAAAGGGGUGAUAGUGACCUUUCGAAGAAAAGGAGCCAAUUAUGAGUGGAGUUUGUGUUUUAGUGUAAUUUUGUAAGUGACAAAAAGACUCUCAAUACAUAUUUCAUAUUUUUUAGAUUUUUUUUAAUCCCAUGCCGUUCACGAGUAUAACAUAAGAAAAUAACUAUAGCAUAUAAGAUGGUAAAUAAGCUUCUCGUUCCUUUAAGUGCUCAGUAUCAAUCAGCUAACCAAGGUAAUACUUGGUUACUACUUACAGUUGUCAAAAAUGUCUUGCACUGGAGUCUUGUAUCUUUGAGCAAGGAUUCAAAGUGUCAAUGAAGGUUCUCGGUAAAUAAUGCGCCUUCCUGGAAAGCGUCACUUUCAUUAUUUGUCGAAAUACUUAUUUGUCCAGAUUCUUUCUUAGAUAGCAAAAUUACGAUCGAUCUAACCGCUUUUUGUAAUCGUCGAUCACUUCAGGUCAGACAUACUUUUUAAUACUUGUUGCUGUGUUUGAACCUUACUAUGUAAAUCAUUGUGUUCUAAGGGAGAUAUAACAUCAUCUGCAUCACUUGUUCUGUGUGUUUGUGGAGUUUUUUUUGCAGAGCGAAUGAAAAGUGCAAAAAAAAAGGAACUGAUAUAGUCUAAGUUUCAAUUAAAAGUUCCUUCAAACUUAUUUCGUGUGUUGUCAGUAUUAUCUCAAAAACGUUGUUCAUAUACUAGAUUUGCGUUUUAUUAUAUUUAUAUAAUAACCAUUCUAUUAUAAUUAAAAAUAAAAAAGUACUAGUCUCAUUGGUGCAAGAUGUAAUAUUUUAAUUACAAAGAGUAGACAUCGCGAGAGCGAUCCUCUAUGUAACCAUUCAGACAACUGUGAUUGAACGACUGGCUCGGGCUGUGCGGU